ACAUUAGUAAAUAUAUCUCUUUCCCUUUCCUCUUGUUUUCUAGGGCUUGCUACGUAGGCCAGAACUACACCAACACGCUUUGAUGCUGAAGCAGAAUUUGGUACAAGGUGGCUGUAAGUCAGAUCUCCUGCUAAUUGUGUGAAACUGUUUAUGUUGAUUCAUCUAAGCAGCUGGUCUUUUGAGAGAGAUGCAACAGACCAAAGAACAAAGACAGAAGCUUGAGAAGCCAUGUUAGGACUUGUUGCACAGCAUGGUGACUGCUAUGGAACAUUGGUAUGGAGUUUCAGGAGAAAUAAGGGUGAUAGGAUCCAGCUCCCCCCAGCAGAGUUCUUGGAUGUCAAGUCCUGAUAAAUCC
RNAcentral lists this long non-coding RNA (355 nucleotides) under Homo sapiens (human). RNAcentral describes it as "HSALNT0199869". The record is from RNAcentral. Lineage: Eukaryota; Metazoa; Chordata; Mammalia; Primates; Hominidae.